AUUGAACGCUGGCGGCAGGCCUAACACAUGCAAGUCGAGCGGUAGAGAGAAGCUUGCUUCUCUUGAGAGCGGCGGACGGGUGAGUAAUGCCUAGGAAUCUGCCUAGUGGUGGGGGAUAACGUUCGGAAACGGACGCUAAUACCGCAUACGUCCUACGGGAGAAAGCGGGGGACCUUCGGGCCUCGCGCCAUUAGAUGAGCCUAGGUCGGAUUAGCUAGUUGGUGAGGUAAUGGCUCACCAAGGCUACGAUCCGUAACUGGUCUGAGAGGAUGAUCAGUCACACUGGAACUGAGACACGGUCCAGACUCCUACGGGAGGCAGCAGUGGGGAAUAUUGGACAAUGGGCGAAAGCCUGAUCCAGCCAUGCCGCGUGUGUGAAGAAGGUCUUCGGAUUGUAAAGCACUUUAAGUUGGGAGGAAGGGUAGUAACUUAAUACGUUGCUACUUUGACGUUACCGACAGAAUAAGCACCGGCUAACUUCGUGCCAGCAGCCGCGGUAAUACGAAGGGUGCAAGCGUUAAUCGGAAUUACUGGGCGUAAAGCGCGCGUAGGUGGUUCAG
RNAcentral lists this ribosomal RNA (560 nucleotides) under Pseudomonadales bacterium HD-I-03-7. Its description in RNAcentral is "bacterial SSU rRNA". It matches the Rfam family "Bacterial small subunit ribosomal RNA", at positions 28 to 583 of the family's 1533-position model. Lineage: Bacteria; Pseudomonadati; Pseudomonadota; Gammaproteobacteria; Pseudomonadales. The record is from RNAcentral.